Molecule: long non-coding RNA, 816 nt
Organism: Phragmites australis (common reed)
Lineage: Eukaryota; Viridiplantae; Streptophyta; Magnoliopsida; Poales; Poaceae
Exons: 2
Source: RefSeq, a predicted model, not a curated record
AAGGACGGCAUCAGGGUGCGGUCCGCGAUGCCUAAGCGCCGUGGACAGCGUCGUGACGCAGCGCCACUGGCCGCUGACGAGGGCUCUGUUCCAGCAUCAUCGGUUUCUGUUGCCGACAAGAAGGAUGGAAGCAAGGCGCCGUCCUCGACGCCCAGGCGCUGUCGCCGGCUUCGCAAGCUGGCGCUGGCCACGGCCACUGACGGCUCUGGCGAAGCACACUUCACAGACAAGGAUGACGGCGACGCCCCAUCCAAAUUCUUGCCAAGAAGGGUGUGACUGUAUUGCCUGAUAUCUAUGCUAAUUCUGGUGGUGUGAUCAUGUGCUACUUUGAGUGGGUUCAGAACAUUCAAGGUUUCAUGUGGGAUGAAGAGAAAGUGAACAAUGAACUCCAGAAGUAUAUGAGUAGCGCGUUUCAUCACAUCAAGGCCAUGUUCAAGUCUCAAGAUUGCAACCUUAGGAUGGGGGCACUCACCUUAGGGGUUAACUGGGUCGCCUGUGCCACCCUGUUGAGGGGUUGGGAGGCAUGAGACCAUUAACAACACAUCCCCGAUUUGACAUUCAAUAAUUCAUGUCCAACAAUACUGAAUGACCUGGUAAAUUCAUCAUAAGUCGCUAGCAUGGAAGGAGUCCAGUUGAAAUAAUAUUCUGGGUAAAUGACAAAUGUGUUGUGUUUGUUCUCUUUUUCACUGUUACACUGUGCUGGGUUGCCAUUGCCAAUGGUAGUUAUCAGUGAUGAUUGACAAAUUGGUUGAGGCACUUCGAUGCUUCACGAAGGUUGUUGCAUUUUGAUGUUUCAGAAAGCUUGUUUGGUCUCAA